CAUCUAUCCAAAAAUUGUCAAUUUCCCAAAUUCACUGCCCAAUACGGCGGCGUUACCACCGCUACCGCCCAAUCUAGCGGCCGCAUUACCGCCACGACACCACCACCACCUGUCGUAUAAAUUGGAUUUCAAGGUACCGACUGUGGGAAGCAUACUUGCUUCUUCAAGUUGAAGUUACAAUGAUGAUAGGAACUGUUUGUGCAAGGAGAAGUAUAUCCACAUUUUCUUGUUUAUGUCAAAGAAUUAAGCAGACAGAAAGUGAUAUUGUUAAAAUGUUUGAAAUCUCAAGGCCUAAGGCCGAAACAGAAGGCACUCAAGAGAAGAGACCACCCUUAAGAAGGGGUUCUGUAAGAAUAUUGGAUGAGAGGUUUAUCAGGAUUCUGAAGAUAUUUAAGUGGGGUCCUGAUGCUGAAAAGGCAUUGGAAGUGCUAAAGUUGAAAGUAGACAAUGAAUUGGUUCGAGAGGUUAUGAAAAUAGACACGGAGGUCAGUGUGAAAAUUCAAUUUUUUAAGUGGGCUGGUAAAAGGAGGAACUUUGAACAUGACUCUACUACUUACCUGACUUUGAUUCGAUGUCUUGAAGAAGCUGGGCUGACAGGUGAAAUGUGGAAGACGGUGCUAGAAAUGGCGCGGAGUACAUGUGUUAUUACUCCUGCUGAUCUAUCCGAGACUGUGAGAAUUUUGGGCAGGGCAAAGAUGGUAAACAAAGCACUAUCAAUAUUUUACCAUAUUAAAGGUCGCAAGUGCAAGCCAACUGCAACCACUUACAAUUCCAUUAUUAUGAUGCUGAUGCAAGAGGGUCAACAUGAAAAAGUGCAUGAGCUUUACAGUGAAAUGUGUAAUGAGGGCAACUGUUUCCCUGAUACAGUAACCUACAGUGCUCUUAUAUCAUCCUAUGCAAAGUUAGGUCGUGAUGAUUCUGCUAUUAGGUUAUUUGAUGAAAUGAAGGACAAUGGUUUACAUCCCACUGCAAAGAUAUAUACAACCUUGUUAGCAGUUCACUUCAAAAUGGGCAGGGUCGAAAUGGCUUUAGCAUUGGUCGAUGAGAUGAAGAAGAAUGCUUGUGCCCCAACUGUGUAUACUUACACUGAAUUGAUAAGAGGGCUUGGUAAAGCUGGUAGAAUCGAGGAAGCGUAUUCUAUAUUUCUGUCCAUGAUAAAAGAUGGAUGUAAGCCGGAUGUUGUGUUGAUAAACAAUGUGAUAAACCUUCUAGGAAGGGGAGGACGUAUAGGUGAUGCGUUUAAAUUGUUUAAUGAAAUGGAAUCAUUAAACUGUAAACCGAAUGUUGUGACAUAUAAUACUGUUAUAAAAUCCCUGUUUGAGUCGAAAGCGCCAAUAUCCGAGGUUUCAUCUUGGUUUGACAGAAUGAAAGCAAAUGGUGUUGCUCCAAGCUCUUUUACUUAUUCAAUACUUAUUGAUGGGUAUUGCAAGAAAAAUAGAGUUGAAAAAGCCUUAGCUUUGCUUGAGGAGAUGGACGAGAAGUGCUUUCCUCCUUGUCCAGCUGCCUAUUGCAGCUUGAUCAAUAGCCUUGGAAAAGCAAAACGCUAUGAAGCUGCUAAUGAGUUGUUUCAAGAACUAAAAGAGAGUUGUGGAUCUAGCAGUUCUCGGGUAUAUGCUGUAAUGAUAAAGCACUUCGGGAAAUGUGGCCGUUUGACUGAGGCUAUCAAUCUUUUCAAUGAGAUGCAAAAGCUGGGAUGUUCUCCUGAUGUAUAUGCACACAAUGCACUCAUGUCCGGACUGGUGAGGUCAGGUAUGCUAGAUGAGGCUUUUUCCAUGUUUCGUAGUAUGGAAGAAAAUGGUUGUGCUCCCGACUUGAACUCAUUUAACAUAAUACUAAAUGGUUUGUCCAAGACUGGUGACCCGCAGCGAGCGAUCGAGAUGUUUACAAAAAUGAAACAUUCAACAAUUAAGCCUGAUGCUGUCUCUUACAACACCAUUCUUGGUUGCCUAAGUCGUGCUGGCAUGUUCGAGGAAGCUGCAAGACUGAUGAAAGAGAUGCGUACCAAUGCUUUUGAAUAUGAUCUUAUAACAUACUCCUCAAUACUUGAAGCAGUCGGUCAUGUUGAUGAGGAUGGUACAUGUCAAACUUCAUGAGGGAGCUUUGGUAUGGGAGAUUCUUCUAGUUAGUGCUUUUCUUUAUUUACACUAUUUAGGACAUGGGAACCGUUUAAAUCAUCUUGGCCUGGCAAAGUGCGCAGCUCUAUGUAGGGUUUUAUGAUGCUCUAGUAAAAUUGAGUGGCAAAUAAUUGCAGCAUUUUGGUUAUUCUCCCUGCUGGUGUUGGCUUCUGCAGAUAUGUGAUUGAAUUUUCACUUUGGGGUAAGGGUUUAAAGUGGUAUCUUCAGCACAUAUAUUAGCAUGCAGACGGAAUCUUCCUCCUGUUCACUGAGUGGAAUUGGUAGCACCCUGUAACAAAAGACGAAGGAUGGUUAGCUUUUGGCAGUUGGACCUGAUUAGUUUCCUUUUGCUUCAUGAUUCUCUCUGUCAUAAAUAUAUCUAAUUCCAUCUGUGGGUAUGUGAGUUACAAAAUUUCCAUUAGUGAGUGUUUCUUCUGCCAUUGGUAGUUCCUUUGUUUGAAGAAGUGAGAACUUGCUUUGGGACACUGUGGUUCUGGCCUUAUAUAAAAAAAUUCCUUUGGGAAGGAGGAACGGGGAGAAGGUAAGUUUCACUUGUCCUGUGCAUCGGAUAUUUUUCACCAGAAUUCCACUUCUUUGUGCUCCUGGAUAUUUAACAUCUGCUUUUUAUCUCCUUAGAGUAUGGCAAAAACUAUUUUAUAUGGGCUUGGUGUUCCUUAAAGAUCCAAUGAAGUUCAUUUUUUUCCUUAUUGAACCCUGUGGCUACAUGGAGGCUGGAGCUAGCAAUCCUUGGCCUUCUGUCGGUUAAGUGGAUCAUUGUGAAUCUUUUAUGACCCUUCUUGCUGCAGUUUCUGAAGCUAGCGUGCUUCUGUGAUCAAUUUACUCAUAAUUAUGUUUAGAAAUUUCACGUCAAGGAUUAUCUACCCUCCCUUUCUCCUCUCUCAAAAUGACCAGGGUGUACCUAUUGCUUCCUACAAGUGAAAUUCUCCAGUGACCUUUUGGUGCACUCCAAUUUCGGGUCUAGAAUGAGACGGGGUAGGAGGCAUCAGGAUCACUCAUCCAGCUCAUUUUCUCUUCAGUUGCCAAAAGUUCCUCAGAACAAAUAUAAUACAAAUUGCAUUGCAUAACUAUAUCAUUUUGGACACUGGUGGUGGCUGCCAUAAUUGUUGUAUCUGGUGUAGAAUUUUCCUCAUCAUCCAAGCUGCAAAACUACGUGCAUCAUACAGUGCAUAAUAGUCCCUUGAAGCCAGCAACACUGCAUCACCAUACUGAAACUUAUGUAUAUUUAGGCACAGCCACCAGUUUGAAACCAAAGUUAUUCUUGUUUUACACAACUAUUGCACAAGGAUGAAAACGCUGACCUUAUCCGUCUUGAGGUUCAACUAUUGAUACAGAUGUUAUCGAUUGGGUGCAUGCCAGGUCUUAUUGUCUUAAACAUAUAACAAGCUGACCAAUUGCCAUAAAUCUCUUGGAAAGAGAGCUAUCAUAUCUUGUGUGGGUAUCACCAAGGAAUGCUGAAAUGUAACAUCUUUUUUGAUAAGUUGCUCAAAUGUACUAAUGUUACAGGAACUCUUUUAAGUUAUGUUCACCAUGGGAAGUCUGCCCUUUUGAGAAUAUUGAAGGCAAUAUUUCGAUAUUGGGAAUACAUGUAACAAUUGUAUAUAAAAACACCCACUUCGAAUGUUACUUUAAAUAUUUCGAA
Solanum lycopersicum (tomato) is the source of this 3774-nucleotide RNA transcript. It is a transcript of the gene named pentatricopeptide repeat-containing protein At3g16010, with no coding region annotated. NCBI's taxonomy places the organism in Eukaryota, Viridiplantae, Streptophyta, Magnoliopsida, Solanales, Solanaceae. The record is from RefSeq and is a predicted model, not a curated record.